This 433-nucleotide ribosomal RNA is filed under the name uncultured bacterium. RNAcentral's name for it is "partial 16S ribosomal RNA". It matches the Rfam family "Bacterial small subunit ribosomal RNA", at positions 29 to 507 of the family's 1533-position model. The record is from RNAcentral.
AGCGAACGCUGGCGGCAGGCUUAACACAUGCAAGUCGAGCGGGCCCUUCGGGGUCAGCGGCGGACGGGUGAGUAACGCGUGGGAACGUGCCUUCUGGUCUGGAAUAACCCUGGGAAACUAGGGCUAAUACCGGAUACGCCCUUUUGGGGAAAGGUUUACUGCCGGAAGAUCGGCCCGCGUCUGAUUAGCUAGUUGGUGGGGUAACGGCCUACCAAGGCGACGAUCAGUAGCUGGUCUGAGAGGAUGAUCAGCCACACUGGGACUGAGACACGGCCCAGACUCCUACGGGAGGCAGCAGUGGGGAAUAUUGGACAAUGGGCGCAAGCCUGAUCCAGCCAUGCCGCGUGAGUGAUGAAGGUCUUAGGGUUGUAAAGCUCUUUUAUCCGGGACGAUAAUGACGGUACCGGAGGAAUAAGCCCCGGCUAACUUCGUG